AUCGGUGACAGGUGGUGCAUGGUUGUCGUCAGCUCGUGUCGUGAGAUGUUGGUUAAGUCCGCAACGAGCGCAACCCCUAUUGUUAGUUGCCAUCAUUCAGUUGGGCACUCUAGCGAGACUGCCGGUAAUAAACCGGAGGAAGGUGGGGAUGACGUCAAAUCAUCAUGCCCCUUAUGACCUGGGCUACACACGUGCUACAAUGGUUGGUACAACGAGUUGCGAGUCGGUGACGGCGAGCUAAUCUCUUAAAGCCAAUCUCAGUUCGGAUUGUAGGCUGCAACUCGCCUACAUGAAGUCGGAAUCGCUAGUAAUCGCGGAUCAGCACGCCGCGGUGAAUACGUUCCCGGGCCUU
This 352-nucleotide ribosomal RNA is filed under the name uncultured Streptococcus sp. Its description in RNAcentral is "bacterial SSU rRNA". It matches the Rfam family "Bacterial small subunit ribosomal RNA", at positions 1027 to 1382 of the family's 1533-position model. Lineage: Bacteria; Bacillati; Bacillota; Bacilli; Lactobacillales; Streptococcaceae. The record is from RNAcentral.